Molecule: long non-coding RNA, 112 nt
Organism: Sapajus apella (tufted capuchin)
Lineage: Eukaryota; Metazoa; Chordata; Mammalia; Primates; Cebidae
Exons: 3
Source: RefSeq, a predicted model, not a curated record
GUAAUCUAUUUUGGGGAGGGGAAGGGCAUCAUGGGAUGCAUGAUCACAAGGGAGGGAUCAUUUAUUACAAACAGGCAUGAUCAUAAGAGUGGGGAGUAUUGGCUGCAGUGAG